UGGGGAAUAUUGGACAAUGGGGGCAACCCUGAUCCAGCCAUGCCGCGUGUGUGAAGAAGGCCUUUCGGUUGUAAAGCACUUUAAGCAGGGAGGAGAGGCUAAUGGUUAAUACCCAUUAGAUUAGACGUUACCUGCAGAAUAAGCACCGGCUAACUCUGUGCCAGCAGCCGCGGUAAUACAGAGGGUGCGAGCGUUAAUCGGAAUUACUGGGCGUAGAGCGAGUGUAGGUGGCUCAUUAAGUCACAUGUGAAAUCCCCGGGCUUAACCUGGGAACUGCAUGUGAUACUGGUGGUGCUAGAAUAUGUGAGAGGGAAGUAGAAUUCCAGGUGUAGCGGUGAAAUGCGUAGAGAUCUGGAGGAAUACCGAUGGCGAAGGCAGCUUCCUGGCAUAAUACUGACACUGAGAUUCGAAAGCGUGGGUAGCAAACAGAUUAGAUACCCUGGUAGUCCACGCCGUAAACGAUGUCUACUAGCCGUUGGGGGUCCUUGAGACUUUAGUGGCGCAGUUAACGCGAUAAGUAGACCGCCUGGGGA
RNAcentral lists this ribosomal RNA (533 nucleotides) under uncultured bacterium. RNAcentral's name for it is "partial 16S ribosomal RNA". It matches the Rfam family "Bacterial small subunit ribosomal RNA", at positions 355 to 879 of the family's 1533-position model. The record is from RNAcentral.